AGAAUGAACGUUGGCGGCGUGGAUUAGGCAUGCGAGUCGCGCGAGAAUGUAGCAAUACAGGAAAGCGGCGAAAGGGAGAGGAAUAGGUGGGAAUCUGCCCCUGGGUCGGGGAUAGCUACGGGAAACUGUAGGUAAUACCCGAUAACGUCGAAAGACCAAAGGUGUGAUUCCGUCUGGGGAUGAGCCCACUCCUAUUAGCUAGUUGUUAGGGUAAUGGCCUAACAAGGCAUUGAUGGGUAGCUGGUGUGAGAGCACGACCAGCCUCACUGGCACUGAGACACUGGCCAGACACCUACGGGUGGCUGCAGUCGAGAAUCUUCGGCAAUGGACGAAAGUCUGACCGAGCGACGCCGCGUGCGGGAUGAAGGCCUUCGGUUGUAAACCGCUGUCGUAGGGGAUCAAACGCAUGGGGUUAUCCCCAUGUUCGAGAGAUCCUAGGAGGAAGGAGAGGCUAAGCUCGUGCCAGCAGCCGC
RNAcentral lists this ribosomal RNA (473 nucleotides) under uncultured soil bacterium. Its description in RNAcentral is "bacterial SSU rRNA". It matches the Rfam family "Bacterial small subunit ribosomal RNA", at positions 26 to 518 of the family's 1533-position model. The record is from RNAcentral.